Molecule: ribosomal RNA, 460 nt
Filed under: uncultured bacterium
Lineage: Bacteria
Description: partial 16S ribosomal RNA
Rfam family: Bacterial small subunit ribosomal RNA
Source: RNAcentral
CCUACGGGAGGCAGCAGUGAGGAAUAUUGGUCAAUGGACGAGAGUCUGAACCAGCCAAGUAGCGUGAAGGAUGACUGCCCUAUGGGUUGUAAACUUCUUUUAUAUGGGAAUAAACUGUUCCACGUGUGGGAUUUUGUAUGUACCAUAUGAAUAAGGAUCGGCUAACUCCGUGCCAGCAGCCGCGGUAAUACGGAGGAUCCGAGCGUUAUCCGGAUUUAUUGGGUUUAAAGGGAGCGUAGGUGGAUUGUUAAGUGAGUUGUGAAAGUUUGCGGCUCAACCGUAAAAUUGCAGUUGAAACUGGCAGUCUUGAGUACAGUAGAGGUAGGCGGAAUUCGUGGUGUAGCGGUGAAAUGCUUAGAUAUCACGAAGAACUCCGAUUGCGAAGGCAGUUCACUGGACUGCAACUGACACUGAGGCUCGAAAGUGUGGGUAUCAAACAGGAUUAGAUACCCUAGUAGUC